RNAcentral lists this long non-coding RNA (764 nucleotides) under Linum usitatissimum (flax). RNAcentral describes it as "long non-coding RNA (LUSI_LNC007116)". The record is from RNAcentral. Lineage: Eukaryota; Viridiplantae; Streptophyta; Magnoliopsida; Malpighiales; Linaceae.
GAAGGUGUGAAGUAACACAGCGGAAGCUCUAUGUGCUGCUUCAGCUACUUCCAUUAGGCAGUAGAAAACUUGGUCGUCAGGGUCGGUUGUGCGGAAGAAGCUCGGUAGAUCUCUCAGACGGAUGUCCUUCAUCCCUGGAACUUCAAAGGGUGUCUCCAAAUAUCCAUUUGUCAGAUAGCUGUCAUCUGCAAUUAAUGAAAUAAUUGAAAUUAAUAAGCAGUUUGUUAAUGACGUACAAUAGAAUACAUGAUGUUUGAUUAUAAAUUGGUAAGCUAAUUAAUUAAUAAGUUACCCUUGAAGGGAGUGAUUCCUUGGUCCAAGAGAGGUUUGAACUGCUUAAACCCCAUGAAGCCACAAGCAGCAAAGCUCCAAUAGGCGACAGAAGGGAUACCAAACUCACGAGCAACAUCGACAGCAAAAGCCAUGGUGUCAGUGACGAUGCAGGUGACAGGAGGAGCACCAUUGGAGUGUUGGGGAUCGUUGAGCUUGGCAACGAGGUCCCUGAAAGGAGAAAUCAUGAAAUUGCGGAUGGAGUUGCAUAUAGCAGGGACGUCCUGAGUGGAGUCAGGAUUGUCGGAUGGAGGGAGACCAUCAGGAAUGGAAGUGAAUCGGAAGUCAGGGAGGCCGUCGAGAGCAUGAGGUCCUUUGGUUCUAAGGAAGCGGUUGUGGUUGUACUCGUUGUUGACAAAAGUGAUAUGGAAUCCUCUGUUGUGGAGUAGCUUGGCGAAUUUCAAGGUGGCCUUGAUGUGGCUCUGGCUUGGGAA